Molecule: long non-coding RNA, 429 nt
Filed under: Panax ginseng (ginseng)
Lineage: Eukaryota; Viridiplantae; Streptophyta; Magnoliopsida; Apiales; Araliaceae
Description: long non-coding RNA (PGIN_LNC005061)
Source: RNAcentral
UUGUAUACAAAUCUGUACUUAACAGCAGAUGAUUUUUAUGCUUGCAUGGCAUUCAUAUUGUCUUCUUACACAUUAUUAGUUGGAAUCCAAUAUGCGUUUCAGGAUUUGUGUAUUGAAGUUCUCUGUUUUAAAGCAUUCUACUACUAAACACGAGUUAGUUUAAUGGGCCUUCUUCUUUUAUCAAAGUUUGGUGGACCAUCCAUUUUUCAUUCAUAUUAAAACCCAGAAAAAUUGCUUGCCGCACCAAACAUGAAAGUUCUACAGGUUCAAGGUUGUUGGUUUCAAUCUUCUAGAGCAUAGGCAACUCCUUUAGCUGAAUUUAAAUAAGGGUUAGAUCAAGGAGGGGUUCUUCCUCUCAGUUUACUUCUUGUUGGUAGAUUUCCAUACAGGGUCCAUUCAUAAUGUUCUACAUGCCGAUGGAGAAGGGAG